RNAcentral lists this transfer RNA (73 nucleotides) under Dethiosulfatibacter aminovorans DSM 17477. It matches the Rfam family "tRNA". Rfam says of the family: Transfer RNA (tRNA) molecules are approximately 80 nucleotides in length. Their secondary structure includes four short double-helical elements and three loops (D, anti-codon, and T loops). Further hydrogen bonds mediate the characteristic L-shaped molecular structure. tRNAs have two regions of fundamental functional importance: the anti-codon, which is responsible for specific mRNA codon recognition, and the 3' end, to which the tRNAs corresponding amino acid is attached (by aminoacyl-tRNA synthetases). tRNAs cope with the degeneracy of the genetic code in two manners: having more than one tRNA (with a specific anti-codon) for a particular amino acid; and 'wobble' base-pairing, i.e. permitting non-standard base-pairing at the 3rd anti-codon position. The record is from Rfam by way of RNAcentral. Lineage: Bacteria; Bacillati; Bacillota; Tissierellia.
GACCCAUUAGCUCAGUCGGUAGAGCAUCUGACUUUUAAUCAGGGUGUCCGGCGUUCGAGUCGCCGAUGGGUCA